This 139-nucleotide ribosomal RNA is filed under the name uncultured eukaryote. RNAcentral describes it as "partial 18S ribosomal RNA". It matches the Rfam family "Eukaryotic small subunit ribosomal RNA", at positions 1299 to 1458 of the family's 1831-position model. The record is from RNAcentral.
UGGUGGGUUGCCUUGUCAGGUUGAUUCCGGUAACGAACGAGACCUCAGCCUGCUAAAUAGUCAUUACCGCCUCGGCGGUUGGCCGACUUCUUAGAGGGACUAUUGACGUUUCAGUCAAUGGAAGUAUGAGGCAAUAACA